GACGACCGGCUGGAUACGUCAUGAGAAGAACCGAUGCGUCCGGCCUACAAGUGGAGGCUCCGAUCUCCCACCUGACCGUCCCCCGGGACGGCGGGUCACCCCGGUCAGGCGGUCACCAUCGUUCCGUACGGACGAUGGAGUCGCCCGAAAGCGCGCCCCGCGAUCAUCGCGGCGGUGCUCCGGUAGUGCUUGGAGCCCCGCCUGUGAUCGUCCGGGGCAUUUUUU
Molecule: non-coding RNA, 225 nt
Filed under: Streptomyces lincolnensis
Lineage: Bacteria; Bacillati; Actinomycetota; Actinomycetes; Kitasatosporales; Streptomycetaceae
Description: Streptomyces RNA 1601
Rfam family: Streptomyces RNA 1601
About the family: Identified by deep sequencing of transcriptome at the end of exponential growth phase. Appears longer on northern blot than sequencing transcript.
Source: Rfam by way of RNAcentral